This 253-nucleotide ribosomal RNA is filed under the name uncultured bacterium. RNAcentral's name for it is "partial 16S ribosomal RNA". It matches the Rfam family "Bacterial small subunit ribosomal RNA", at positions 524 to 776 of the family's 1533-position model. The record is from RNAcentral.
UACAGAGGGUGCAAGCGUUGUUCGGAAUUACUGGGCGUAAAGCGCGUGUAGGCAGCUCGGUAAGUCGGAUGUGAAAGCCCUGGGCUCAACCUAGGAAGUGCAUUCGAAACUUCCGAGCUGGAGUGCUGGAGAGGAAGGCGGAAUUCUCGGUGUAGAGGUGAAAUUCGUAGAUAUCGAGAGGAACACCAGUGGCGAAGGCGGCCUUCUGGACAGUUACUGACGCUGAGACGCGAAAGCGUGGGGAGCAAACAGG